CAAUCAUUUCUCUCUGCAAACACCUUCCCUGCACAAUUACCAACAACUUCGCCGAUCCCUCUACCUUUAAUCGAACCUUUCAACUUCCUCCUUUACAUUUACAGCCAGCCACCAUUCAAUCCAUUUUCAUGAUGUCGAAUUUAUUGCAAGACCUAAUCGCCGAGAUAUUAAUCCGAUUACCAGUGAAGUCUGUGGUACGCUUCCUCUGUGUUUCUAAGGAAUGGUACGCCCUAAUCACUAGCUCAUAUUUCAUCAAAAUGCACUUGAAGUUCUCCAUUGAGACCAACAGAGACCGCACCCUCAUCCUCAACGAAGAGGACUUCGCUCCGGCUUCACAUUAUUUUUCCGCCGUUCAAUUCUCAUCCAAGUACAAUCGCUUCGGCAAGACCGUUGAAAUUUACCAGCCGCUACUAAAUUGGGUCAUCUCGGACUAUUGCGACGGCUUGGUUUGCCUCCAUAAGGGGCACGAAAAGCAAGACGUCGCAAUUUGGAAUCCAUUGGUCAGGAAGUACAGGAGAUUUCCAUUCGAACCGAUUGAGGAGCCCUCUGGUUUCUCGGAUGUUAGAUUUUCCCAUUUAGCGUUCGGGCACGAUCCGCGUAACGACGACUAUAAGGUGUUGAGGGUUAUAGAAUUUUAUAUGGAAGAUAUGAUUGGUAUGGAGUUUGAAGUCAAGGUGUGUAGUAUGAGAUCACCCACUUGGAAAAAAAUUGAUGAACAAUGGCCCAACAUGGUGGUAUGUCACUGGAAGUCGGUGGCUUUGAAUGGAGAUGUGUAUUUUAUAGUGGCUGAUCGAGUUGGGCAGCAUCGGAAGUCGCUUCUUGCUUUCGAUCUCGCCACCGAGAAAUUUCGGUUCUAUGGGACGCCGGUUCCGCUAGAAAACUAUCUGUCUACGAUUUUGGAUGUGUUGGGAGGACUACUCUGUUGUAUUGUUCAUGAUUACAUGUAUUGUGAUGUUUAUUUGAUGAAAAAAUAUGGGGUAGAGAGUUCUUGGACUCAGAUUUUUAAAAUUGAGAAAAAUGUACUGUGUCGGAACUUUGAGUAUUUCAGGACUCUAAUGUUUUCCACCAAUGGCAAGAAGGUUCUGUUGGAGGAGCACCAAGAAUGCGGUCAUACGAAUCUUAUUUGGUAUGACAUAGAAAAGAAAAGAUGCUACAGGGUUAAGAAUCGGAGUUUUCCAUAUGUGUUUAUGGUGGCAACUUGUAUCGGGAGUCUUCUUCUCCUUGAUGGUGAUAAUGUGAUUGAUCCUCGGCAGAAGAAGAAUAAGGGGAAGAGGAAGAGGUAAAGCAAUGGAGCUUAAUGAACUAUUUUGUUUUGCUUAAUUGGCUGUCUUGGUAUUGGUUUGCAUUACUGUCUUGAAGCAGUGGGUGUUUAAUGAUGGGAAGAUUUUGUGAAUUUUCAUGUAAGACUUGAUACUUGUUUGAGUGGAAUUAAAGUCCAUCAGAAUCUGUUGGGAAAAGCAGUGAAAUGCAAGAAGGAUAAAGAGGUGAUUGUGGAGACGACUUUAUCUUUCAAAAGUAAUUUUGAUUAUUGUGUUUUUUGUGUUAACUAGCUGUAUAUAACAAAAGCUGGAUUAUUCAUGUCUUAUGGAAUAUUUAGCUAUUUUUCAACUUUUUAAUGUUAUUGAGACUUUUGCAUAUCUAAUAUGAUAAAGCUUGUUCAUGGAA
This is an RNA transcript of Quercus robur (English oak), 1665 nucleotides long. It is a transcript of the gene named F-box protein CPR1-like, with no coding region annotated. Lineage: Eukaryota; Viridiplantae; Streptophyta; Magnoliopsida; Fagales; Fagaceae. The transcript is spliced from 3 exons. The record is from RefSeq and is a predicted model, not a curated record.